Molecule: long non-coding RNA, 1008 nt
Organism: Puntigrus tetrazona (Sumatra barb)
Lineage: Eukaryota; Metazoa; Chordata; Actinopteri; Cypriniformes; Cyprinidae
Exons: 3
Source: RefSeq, a predicted model, not a curated record
CUUGGACUGGGUCUGAACACGCGGACGCUUGGACUAGAUUAAAUGCAGUCGCCGAUUCGAUUGCGAUAUUGAAACGAGGAAUAAUUAACGUCGCCGUGGGAGUCAUUCCAAAUCCUGUCUGCAUCACAGAAGUCGUCCAAACGCCGGCGGAUCCGAAGAUGCGCUUUUGAACGCGAGUUCUCACCCUCUUUACCUUUGAAACGCGGCACCUGGCCCAGCUCGUUACCACCUCCUCAAUAAUUCACGCACGCCUUUGCAUCAUGUUUUAUUCAUACGCUAAAGGAAAGCACGUUCUAAUUUAGCAACGGCAUCUCAUCCCAAACUCCACAGCUGUGGGCUGCGACGCGGUGACGUCACUACGACCCACCCCAGGGCUCGGGGAAGAGUGACAGGCGCCGCCGAAAGUCGGCGAUUCCCCCGACGCUUCACCGCCGCUUUAAAAACCGUCCCACGGUUCAUUUGUGUUCAGAUACUGAUAGAGAACUAAUUAGCCGCUCCCGCAGGCUAACUCAUCCGCGCGUUAUUAUGAAAAUUAAUGAAUGGACUCCUUGAUGGAUAUCACUCAGUUGAUUAUGCGCCGAGUUGCUUAUGACUUCUGAGUUCCAGCGCGUAGGCGUCGCGCUUUUGGGUUUCGCUGCUGAUCUUUACAUCGUAAAUGCAACAAGCGAUGACUUUCGACGCUGCGGCAGCAUUAGCCUCGCGCUCGCUGGAGUGAUUCUCCUCACCCAGGCCUGUUAUCUCCUCACAUUUCAUGUCGCCCCACUGUUCGUAUUUGUUUGUUUUUGAAAUGACAUAAAGCUGCUGGAAACGUUGAGGAAACCUGCUGCAACACCCAGAAAGCCGCAGCUCAUUAGAGGGCCAGAAGUCGGCCAAGAGGCAUCAAUUACCACCGAGGGACAUGGAUCAUAUUUAUAAUUACACGGCACCGUGAACCAUGAAAAUCGUAAUGUGGUUUAAUCACCAGCUGUCUGUUCCCCAAGAUCUCCACCUCUCCCUAACAAACGUCUG